GAUCCUGGCUCAGAUUGAACGCUGGCGGCAGGCUUAACACAUGCAAGUCGAACGGUAACAUAAAGAAGCUCGCUUCUUUGAUGACGAGUGGCGGACGGGUGAGUAAUGCUUGGGAAUCUAGCUUAUGGAGGGGGAUAACUACGGGAAACUGUAGCUAAUACCGCGUAGAAUCGAGAGAUGGAAGUGUGGGACCUUCGGGCCACAUGCCAUAGGAUGAGCCCAAGUGGGAUUAGGUAGUUGG
RNAcentral lists this ribosomal RNA (241 nucleotides) under uncultured bacterium. Its description in RNAcentral is "partial 16S ribosomal RNA". It matches the Rfam family "Bacterial small subunit ribosomal RNA", at positions 15 to 252 of the family's 1533-position model. The record is from RNAcentral.